This 212-nucleotide ribosomal RNA is filed under the name uncultured bacterium. Its description in RNAcentral is "partial 16S ribosomal RNA". It matches the Rfam family "Bacterial small subunit ribosomal RNA", at positions 524 to 736 of the family's 1533-position model. The record is from RNAcentral.
UACGGAGGGGGCUAGCGUUGUUCGGAAUUCUGGGCGUAAAGCGCACGUAGGCGGCUUUGUAAGUUAGAGGUGAAAGCCCGGGGCUCAACUCCGGAAUUGCCUUUAAGACUGCAUCGCUAGAAUUGUGGAGAGGUAAGUGGAAUUCCGAGUGUAGAGGUGAAAUUCGUAGAUAUUCGGAAGAACACCAGUGGCGAAGGCGGCUAACUGGCCCA